This 492-nucleotide ribosomal RNA is filed under the name uncultured bacterium. RNAcentral's name for it is "partial 16S ribosomal RNA". It matches the Rfam family "Bacterial small subunit ribosomal RNA", at positions 29 to 507 of the family's 1533-position model. The record is from RNAcentral.
AGUGAACGCUGGCGGUAGGCCUAACACAUGCAAGUCGAACGGCAGCACAGUAAGAGCUUGCUCUUACGGGUGGCGAGUGGCGGACGGGUGAGGAAUACAUCGGAAUCUACUUUUUCGUGGGGGAUAACGUAGGGAAACUUACGCUAAUACCGCAUACGACCUACGGGUGAAAGCAGGGGAUCUUCGGACCUUGCGCGAUUGAAUGAGCCGCUGUGGGAUUAGCUAGUUGGCGGGGUAAAGACCCACCAAGGCGACGAUCCGUAGCUGGUCUGGGUGGAUGGUCGGCCACACUGGAAGUGAAACACGGUCCAGACUCCUACGAGAGGCAGCAGUGGGGAAUAGUGGACAAUGGGCGCAAGCCUGAUCCAGCCAUACCGCGUGGGUGAAGAAGGCCUUCGGGUUGUAAAGCCCUUUUGUUGGGAGAGAAAAGCAGCAGGUUAAUACCCCGCUGUUCCGACGGUACCCAAAGAAUAAGCACCGGCUAACUUCGUG